This 1416-nucleotide unclassified non-coding RNA is filed under the name Hevea brasiliensis (rubber tree). The record is from RNAcentral. Lineage: Eukaryota; Viridiplantae; Streptophyta; Magnoliopsida; Malpighiales; Euphorbiaceae.
AUACAGUACCAUUAUAUAUAUAAUUAGGUUAAAUACAUAAAUACAACUUUACAUCUAAGUAGAGAUCUUUGAUUCUACUUUACUACAAAGUGCUUCAACCUAACUUCAUCACUACUAUCUCGAGAGAAGCAAUCGGCUUAGAACGAUAUCAUUGGUUCUUUUCUUCUCUUUCCUUCUCGGGAGCUUCCUUUCAGAGUCGACGUGCUUCCUUAUUCACGAGGUUUCUAUGGGGAACCUUGAAAUUCAAUGAAGCCCAAAGCUCUAGCUAGUUUUAAGAACAAGAAACAUGAGUAUAUAGCUAAAAGCCCAACUCCAAAGAACUUAUCAAGCCUCAUAUCUCUCUUGGGCAAGAUUACCAAGGCCCAAAGUAAGCCCAAUAGUAAAAACCCAAUGGUCUCAUAAAUAGUUGAAUCUAUUGGCACAAUAUAACUUGAAGGAAAUGCUUUCCAAGUUGUGAAAAUGAGUGAUGAGCCCAAGCCCACUAAGGUGUUGAAUAUAGGCCCAGCAUAGCAUCCACAUAAAGCCACUUGGGCUCCUAUAGGCCCACCUGUUUUUGCAAGUGUUACAUUAGCUACCAAGUCUCCUAAUGAGUUACCCCAAGCAAGGACAGUUAGGCCCAAAAUUGAUGGGCUUAUCCCAAAGAUUAGGCCCAUUGAGACCAACAAAGAAAUAAGUUCUUCAGCCAAAAUGUAAGUCCAUGUAAUGCUCAUCAAAAAACCAAGCCCAAGCCAUAAAAAGUUGAACUUCUUUGGUGGAUGAAGCCCAUCACUAGUGAAAAACACAAGAACCCCACAACAAAGCCCAAUAACACCACUAAUUCCACAGGCCCAAAUACUUGAUUUAGGCCCAAAAAAAUCCCAAAUGAGAACCAAUAACAAAGGAGCUAAAGUGAUUGACACAAUCCCAAAUGAUUUUGACCAUUUCUCUUGUGAAACAUUUGGAAUUGUCAACUUCCUUGGCAAAUCAAGUGGUAAUUCAAGAACAUACCCAACUUUUCUCAACACACAAACUCUUUUUCCACUUGAAACCUCAUCCACCAACAAAGGCACCUUCAAUUCACAUGCCAAUUCUUGACCUUUUUUCAUAUCACAAACCAUUGGCAAAUCAAAUGAAUCAUCAUCAUUUGUCCCAAUCUCUUCUUGUUUAACAUACAUUUCUGAGGCAAAUAUGAAGCAAACAUAGACCAAAUACAACAAAAAGAAACCUAAACCACCCCACAAGUGAAUCUUCCCAAUAAUGAUCACAACAAGGAGACACACAACACAAAGAGUCAAGAACAUGACAUUCCCUAUAAAACUUGACUUCUUGAUCUUCCUUUCAUGUUGACUAAUUGAUAUACUUGUAACUCCAGCCACAACACUUGAAACAAAGAAAGCACCACCAAUUAUACUAUUGAGUCCAAUAUCAUUUGUAUCA